CACUGCAAUCCAAACUGGCCUCUUUGAUUACGUGUGGGUUCAAUUCUAUAACAAUCCUUCAUGUCAAUACGUAAAUGAUGCUACCGGUCUCUUGAGUGCAUGGAACCAAUGGACCACAGUUCAAUCCAAUCAAAUAUUCCUGGGACUACCUGCUGCUCCCGAGGCAGCCCCUAGUGGUGGAUUCAUCCCUGCCGAUGUGCUCAUUUCUCAGGUCCUUCCAUCUAUCAAGGGUUCACCAAAGUAUGGAGGCGUGAUGCUCUGGAGCAAGCAGUAUGACAAUGGGUAUAGUGCAGCAAUAAAGGGCAGUGUCUAGAUUUUUUUCAGCCCUGCUCUUCCCCAUGCUGUGUGCUCCUGAUUCCUGAAUAUAUAUAUAUAUAUAUAUAUAUAUAUAUAUAUAUAUAUGCCACAGCAUGUUUGUUCUAAAGAGUGUUUGCGGCGAUCAAAAUAUUAUGUUUACUUAGAUUUCAAGCUAAAAGCUAAAUAAAACGAAAUUAUAGUUCCCUGACAAGGAAAAUAUAAUCAAUUUACCAGUGAAUUCCUUAUAGUGUUUUUUCUUUUUUUUUUCUUUUUCAUCAAGCUCAACAAAAAGUCUUGUGGUUGUGGAGUAACUUUAUGCUUCAAAAGGGGUGUCUAAAUUUUUCCACUCGAUCCAUGGAUGCAAAUCCCUUGAUAUAUUAAUUUGCUGACAUUUUCAAAGGCAAAAUGUGAAAGAAAGAAAAGUUGCCAAACAAAUAAUAUUGAAUCAAUGAGACUAAGGUUAACAGAAAUAAAAUCCGUUUUAAUGGAGGAUGAACAAGAAAUGGAAAUGUUAUAAUCAACUGGGGUACUGUCAUGCAUGACGGGAAAAAAUAGUAGUUCAUAUGCUUUUAGAAAAUUAUAUAUGUAUUAAAUUUUAUUAGUUAAUUACCAAAGCUUUAGUCAUUUCAACAAUAGUUUUAAUAUUUUUAGCUAUAAAAAUAGGUAAAAAUGGUUAAUUUUAAUUAACAAUGAAUUGUUUAAAACAAAAGACAUAUAUUCAUCCAAAAUUUAAUUUAUAUUUUUGAGAUAAAAAGAUGAAUCGUGAAUGUAUUCUCCUAUUUUUCUCAUAUAAUUAGUGAGUAAAUAAUAAACUUUAAAAAAUAAUUAUUAUCUUAUGUAAAUUUUAUACAUAGCUUAGUAUUUUUUUUUUCUUAUAUUAUAACUAUCCAUUGAUUAGCUUUUAAGAAAUAAAUUUAAUAUUUCUCUAAGUUGGUCUUCGAGACUGUGCAUAGGAAAUUAUAGUUUUAUAGCAUUAUUGAGAUUUUUUGAAAGAUUAACUUAGAUUUUUUCCAAAAAAUUAAAUUUGUUAGGUGUAUUUGUAAGGAAUUCACUUUUGUUUUCUAUUUGAUUGGAAUUUGGUAGGUUUAUUUUGUUGAUUGUGUUUGAAAUAUUCAAUACCUAACUAGUUCAAAAAAAUCAUACAUGUAGCCGCCCAAGUAAUCGAUCUGACUUAUAAAGCUGACUUGUUAUUAGAUAAUUUACAAAGCCAGAUAAACUUAAAAAAGUUAAAAUUAAAAAAAAUAUCUAAGUUAGCGUGUUUUUAAGAAGAUAAAAAAUAAAUUACAUAAAAACUCAUAUGAAGUGAACCGGUAAACUAUACAAGUUAAAAGAUAAUCUAAACAAUAGAAAAAAAAAACAUUAUUUAACUAAAAAUUUUAAUAUAAAAUUCAUGAUUCGGAUUAUGAGACUGUGGUAAUUUCAUGAAAAGAAAAUAAAAAAACAUAUUAAAACUCAAUUCUCAAUCAACUCAAUAUUGAAAAAUAAAUUAAAAAAAAUAAAAAAUAACAAAAAAACUCAAGUCAAUCAGAGUUAACAUGUCAAACAUAGAUCAUGAGAUCAAUAUAACCUAAUAGAAAACAAAACAAAACAAGUUAUGAAGCUCAUGAGACCAAUAUAACCUAAUAGAAAACAAAACAAAACAAGUUAUGAAGCUCAAUUCUCAAUCAGUCUAAUAUUGAAGGAUAAAAUUGAAAAAAAAUAACAAAAAAAUACACGAGUCAACUCCGUUUAACCCGUCAAACUCUUGAUUCAAAUCAUAAGACUAAGAUAACAUUAUAAAAAGCAAACCGAAAUAAAUUAUAAAAUUUAAUUCUUAAUCAACCCAAACAGUGAAUGAUAAAAUUAAAAAUAAAAAAAUUUAACUACAAAAAAUAACAAAAAAAACAGAGGCAACCAAGUUAACCUGCAAAACUAGUAACUUGGAUCGUGGAAUUAUGAUAACUUUAUAGAAAACAAAUCAAAAUAAAUUAUCAACCCCAAUAAAUCUAAUAUUAAAAAAUUUAAAAAAAAAGUGCUAAAAAGAGGGAAUCACUGCUUCCCUCCUCACAAAUUCCUGUUACAAUUAGUUUUUUUUAAAAAAAUUAAUAUGGGUGUCCGAACAAGUUUACACGUACCUCAACUAAUCUCAUAUAUCCUAAAAUUAACAAUCAUACAAGCAUAUAGUAUCCCUGUAAUAAUAUUACUUCAUUAUAGUUGUUAAACAUACAUGUCUACUCAUGUUCUAUGUUCUGGCCUUUUCUUUAAGUAGAGCAUGUUUGGUAUUGUGGUUGUUUUUGUGGUUGUGGUUUAAAAAAAGCAGUUUAAUAAAAAGUGCUUUUCGUGAGGUUUGUUUUAAAAUUUGAUGUGUUUAGUUAAAACUGCGGUUGAAAUUAUGGUUGAAAAAAAACAGUUUCUUGUGUUUGGUUAAUAUGCUUUUUGUAUGAUGUUUGAUUGUAAAAUUACCUAAAAGGACAUAUAUCUAUAUAUAUAUAAUGGCAAAACAUUAUUAUUUUAUAAUUAUGAUUACAUAAUCCUUGUACGUUAAUAAAAGUUUUUCAGUGUCCUAUCAAACUAUUUGAAAAAAAUAUAAUAAAAAAUAAUAUUAAUUAAAAUAAAAAUAAAAAUUAGAAUAAAAAAAUAAGUUAGUGAUAGUCCAGGUGACAUAAAUGAAUGUAAAAAAUAUAAAAAAAACACAAACAAGUUUGAGGUGUAAAAUAAGAAAUUCAAUUCUAAAGGUAUUCAAGCAUUUUUAAUGUUCAUGUAAAAAGAAAAUUACAACACAGCCUCUGCACAAACAAGUUUUUUUAAGAGAUUAUUUUAGUAAUACCACUAUUAAAAAAAAAGUAAAACAAAAACAUAUUACUUCAGUUACUUUUGACAAAUAGUCUUUCAUUUUAUUGAAAACUCGUAUUUUUGCUCCAUGGCAAAACAGCCCUCGGAAAGUUUGCAAUGUUAAUUAAAUUUAUACAGUGUUGGUGAGAGAGAGAGGAGAACACAACAACGAAAAGCAGAGCACAGCAACGAAAAGCAAUGGUAAGUUGCUUUUCACAAACUGAGGUUGGUCCUCAGUUUUUAAGUGGGGUCCACGUGAAAAAAAAUACGGUUAGCAUUAACCAAACAUUUUAAAACAACUUUUAAUUUUAACCGCAGCCACAACAGCAGAUCCAAACACCCUCUAGUGAUCCAUCAUCUCGUUUACACUCAGUGACGUUUGAACUUCAAUCUUAUCCGGCUAACACCUAAAUGCUCCUUGACUCAGCUAAGUUGCCUACCUGCCACGUGCUUUGUUUUUUAUUUUCUAAGUUAAUUGAUGAUUUUCUAGCAUAAUUGAAGUCAAUGGUUAACUUGGUGUGUUGACUCAGUUAAGAUACGAUGUUUUAGUUAAAAAAAAAGACCUUCAAAUAUUGUCAUUUUAAAUUUAUUCAAGUUAAUUAGAAUUAAUUUGUUGAAACUUUAAACUAAAUCUUGGAUCGGGACAUUACUAAGAUGGGUUUAUGUAGUGAGGGAAUGUUAUAGUUUUUUAAAGUGUUUUUUAUUUAUAAAAAUAUUAAAAUAAUAAUUUUUUAUUUUUAAAAUUUAUUUUUAAUACCAACACAUUAAAAUUAUUUAAAAUUAAAAAAAUUAAAUAAAUUUAAAAUUAAAAAAUUAAAAAAUCUUUUUAAAGGCGCACAAACAGUCUCUUGAUAUUAAAUUUGUACUAAACAAUGCUCAAAUUAAAGAGAGAGAAAAGAGUUUAACGCAUAACCACUGUAAAAUGUGAAAGGAGUUGUUUUAUUGUUUUUAUUAGUGCUGCUUAAUUAACUUCAUCGAAGUUUUAACAUUUUUCACUUGGCUAGCAUCUGUCUCUGGGCAUGACAACUAGAAUAAUUAAUAAAGUAACAGUCAAACUAUAAGUUAGUCACUAAUUUUUUAAGAAAAUAAUUAAUUGGUCUCUUUAGGGGUACUUGAUAUAGAGUUUCAACUUGUUUUUUAUUAUUAUUAUUAUUAUUAUUAUUAAAAUUUAAUAUUUUUUUCUUCAAAUUAAUUUUUUUUAUUUUUUUUAAAUUAUUUUUAUGGGCUAAUUUUAAAAAUGAAUUUUAAAAAAAUUAAAAAAAUAUUAUUUUAAUACAUUUUCAAAUAAAAAAUAUUUAAAAAACAAUUAUUAUUAUUCUUCCAAACACUCUUGUUUCGAAAAUCAUUCAUUAAUCUCUUGGCAUUUUUUCAUCAUUAACUUAUAAACAAUAAAUACAUUUUUUUUCAAUUAAAAACAAAAAAUGACAACAAAAUAAUUCAAUUAAAAACAAAAAAAACAUUUUAUUGGCAUGUAAGCGUGUAUUGGAUAUUAUAAGAGUGUUACAUCUUGCACGUAUUUAUUCAAGUUACAAGUUCCUUGACAAUUGAUUUAUAUAAAGUAAGUCUUUUGGUGAUUUUAUUUUGUAUGAGUCGGAAAAGUUAGAUAUGUGAUUAUUUAAAUUUGGAGAGGACUAAAUUAAAAUUUAAUUAUGAAGUGAGAAGUGAUGAGCAAGGGGGUCAGUAAAAUGGCUUAAUCUUUUUUAUUUUCACUAAGAAUUUUUUUAAAUACAACAAUAUGUCAAAAAAAUUAUAUAACAUGCGGAGAAAAAAGAAUAUCUAACAUGCGGAGAAGCGUGGGUUAAGUACCUAGUCAUUGUCUAAAACUGUAACUUCUCUGGGUGAAAAAUAAUAAAUUGACUAGUCUUAUGCAAAAUAAAAAAAAAUUUAUAACUCUCAAUCGGGUUAAUUUCAUCCUUGAAAUUUAAAUUCAUACCUAUGUAAGAAAAUAAUCUGGGAUAUUUCUUCUUCAUUUCUGACUCUCUCUCCUAGGUUUCUUCUUCUAUUUGAGAGUUUCUCCACAAUACAUUUACUAACGACACCUUUUUAUUUUGUAAUUCCUUUAUACUUCGGUCCAUAAUUUACACAGGUUGUACCUCCAUAGUUAAAUCUUCUUGUACUUCCAUCGGAAUUUAUGGCAAAAUUCGUGCAGGAUCCAAGUUUGCUUUCCGCAGCAUCGAAACAUGAAACACAUUGUGUAUCCUAUCUAAAUGUGGUGGCAAUAAUAUUUGAUAGGCAACCGUCCCAAUUCUUUCUAUAAUUUUAUAUGCCUCAAUAUACCUAGGUGCUAAUUUGUCUUUCAUUCUAAACUGAAUCACAUGCUUCCAUGGAACAAUUUUUAAAAAUACCAUGAAUGAGAUGUGAUCCAAGAUGAUUGGAUCAAGAUGAAAGUUGUAAUGACAUAUAAUAUAAGUGUUGUUGAUAAUUUGGUACCAACAAAAAUAGAGAAAAUUUUGUCGAAAUUUUCAAAAAAAUAAAUUUCAUAAUCUUAGAUAUAUUAUUCAAUACUUGACAUUAGUAAAUAAAUGUUUGAGAUUUCAUGACAUUAUAAUUUGAGGAAGUUACAAAAAAAAAACUUAUUCUAAGUUAAAUUUCAAAUUAGUAAGUUAUUUGGUAAACUAGUUAGGUUGUAAUGGGUUAAAGUUGUAUUUCUAAGUGUAGUAGCGAUUCUUUUUCAAAGUGUUUUUUACUUGGAAAUACAUGAAAAUAAUAUUAUUUUUUUUUUUUAAAAAUAUUUUUAAUAUUAACAUAUUAAAACAAUCCAAAAUAUUAUAAAAUUUAAUUUUAAAUAAAAAAAAUUAAAAAAUUAUAAAACACGGCUUCAACCGCGAAAUAAAUCAGCACUUCUAGCUAUGAAAUUAUUUCAUAGCCUGCUUUUGAUGGAAUCGCCAAAGUGGAAACCAAUUUCAGACUGCUAAAAAAACAGUCCCUAAUUCCCCUUUGAUUCCAGGAAACUCACUGAGGGACUUAAAUGGUAUCUGCCAAACCGUCCUGGUCCGACUAUUUGUAAAUAGAGAAGACCAGUAUAAUCUUUAAUAACCAUGGCACUUUUUUCUUGUCUACAUUAUUUUUAUGCAGAAUUCUUCUAUACUUUCAAUGAGAACGGCACCAAUUUCUUGCCCACAAACCACGGUAAUCAGACUUUUCUACUAAGACACCUAGACACGCAUGGUCCUCAGAAGCUAUAAAUAUGUUCCGUCUCCACAUUGUUGAUACACAGAACAAGCUUGAGAUCCAAAAUGGCUUGCCAAGCAAAAGCUAUCACCCUUCUUCUAUCCAUCUUAGCUGUCUCCUUAUGCAAACCCUCAGAUGGUGCAGGCAUCGCCAUCUAUUGGGGUCAAAAUGGCAAUGAAGGCAGCUUAGCUGAUACUUGUAACACAGGAAACUAUCAAUUUGUGAACGUAGCUUUCCUAUCUAGUUUCGGCAAUGGCCAAUCUCCAGUGCUGAACCUAGCAGGCCAUUGUGACCCCAGCGCCGGUACUUGCACCGGCAUAAGCAAUGACAUUAGAUCUUGUCAAAAUCAAGGAAUCAAGGUGCUGCUUUCCAUUGGAGGUGGCGCAGGCAGCUACUCCCUUUCAUCGGCCGACGAUGCAGGGCAAGUUGCAAACUAUAUCUGGAAUAACUUCCUUGGUGGUCAGUCCAGCUCACGUCCGCUAGGCGAUGCCAUCCUAGAUGGGGUUGAUUUUGACAUCGAGGCAGGUUCAGGCCAGUUCUGGGAUGAUCUUGCUAGGGCACUUAAUGGCUUUAGCCAACAAAGGAAGGUAUACUUAGCUGCAGCUCCACAAUGCAUCUUCCCUGAUGCUAAUCUAGACACUGCAAUCAAAACUGGCCUCUUUGAUUACGUGUGGGUUCAAUUCUAUAACAAUCCUCCAUGUCAAUACGUAAAUGAUGCUACCGGUCUCUUGAGUGCAUGGAACCAAUGGACCACAGUUCAAUCCAAUCAAAUAUUCCUGGGACUACCUGCUGCUCCCGAGGCAGCCCCUAGUGGUGGAUUCAUCCCUGCUGAUGUGCUCAUUUCUCAGGUCCUUCCAUCUAUCAAGGGUUCACCCAAGUAUGGAGGCGUGAUGCUCUGGAGCAAGCAGUAUGACAAUGGGUAUAGUGCAGCUAUAAAGGGCAGUGUCUAGAUUUUUUUCAGCCCUGCUCUUCCCCAUGCUGUGUGCUCCUGAUUCCUGAAUAAAUUUGAUAUAUGUAUAUAUUUAUGCCACAGCAUGUUGAUCUAAAGAGUGUACGCGGCGAUCAAAAUAUUAUGUUUACUUAAAUUUCAAGCUAAAUAAAACGAAAUUAUAGUUCCCUGAUAAGGAAAAUAUAAUCAAUUUACCAGUGAAUUCCUUAUAGUGUUUUUUUUUCUUUUUCAUCAAGCUCAACAAAAGUCUUGUGGUUGAGGAGUAACUUUAUGCCUUCUAAGAGUCUUCAAAACUCAACUGGGGUGUCUAAAUUUUUCCACUCGAUCCAUGAAUGUGAAUCCCUUGAUAUAUUAAUUUGCUGACAUUUUCAAAGUUAAAAUGUGAAAGAAAGAAAAGUAGUCAAACAAAUGAAUUUUGAAUCAACGAGACUAAGGCUAACAGAAAUAAAACCCGUUUUAAUGGAGGAUGAGCAAGAAAUGGGAAUGUAAUAAUCAAUUAUUUAGAUUAAAACUUACCGUUUUAUUUAAAUUAAACAGCGGGUUAUUUCCUUUUAAACCCACAAUUUAAUAUCUUAAAAAUACUAGAUACUAAAAUCUAGCAAUAAAUUAAUUAUUUGCUUUAAUCAAACUAAGAACUAUUCUAAAAUCUAAAUAACGUGUAUUAUUCUGUGUCUGUACCAUUUCCUAAUGCCCAAAUGUUGAAGGGGCUUCUUUUAUUGAUAUGGGAACAUUGAAUUUGGGAUCUGCUUUCAAAUUAUUCAUAUGGUUCAUAGCAUAUCAAUUUAGUGAACGUAACUGCUCUGUGUUCUGGAAUUCCCUUCCCAUGAAGCUCUCUAUGAAGUAUUGUUUUAUGUUGCCAUUGAAACAGUAAUGCAGAUGAAUAUUCAUUUGAAAUCUAUUCUCUCCCCAUACUAUGUAAACAUAUUAUUUUGAGUUCGCAUGUGCGCUUUUCAUCAUUGAUGGAGAAAGAAGGAUAAGCAUAGCUAAAUUAUAUGUUUGAAUGCACACGUUUUCAGGUACCGUCAGAGUCUCGGCGGUGUUGUUCACAAAAUCUACAAAAAAAAGUGGACUCGUUGUUGUUCUCCGAGGAAGAUGAAUUGCCUAAUUAUUCUAUCCUCAACAGUGAGGACAGUAAUCAAACCCGGAGAGAAGAAAUAGAACGAGAUGAAAUGGAUGAUGAUAAUAGAAUCAUUGACUCAGUUUCAGCAGAAGAUGAGUCCCUUAGACAGGUGGAAAAUGAGCGUCAAAGCCCCCAAGGGAUGAAUCAGGAGGAGCAUGCUCGAAAAUUCGUUGAUGUUCAAACCAGGAGACAGAGGGCAAGAAGAUUUGCAUCUUUUGCUAGCUGGGUUCCAAAUUUGCAGAGAGUUUGGGCACCGAAGCAGCCAGAGGCAAUGAAACCAGAUCCUCUUCGUAAUUUGACAAUGAGUACAGUGCAGCUACAAAGGGCAGUGUCUCCGUCUUGCAGCCUUGCUCUUCAUGCUAUCAUCUUAUGUUAUUCUGAGUGUAGCAUUCACUUGUUGGCAAUAAAAAACAUGACUGUAUGCUUGAACUUGAUCCCACACUAAAUGAAACAAAAUUAUAUUUCCUGAUGAGAAAAUUAAUCUAGAUUGAUUUGGAUUUUUUUUUAAUUUGAUUAUUACUAGUUUAGUAGAUGUAUUAUUGAAAGAAAAUAAAUUCUGGAACAGGGAAAUUUUUUUAUGAUUUUAACACAAGAUUGCUUAGCUAAACUACAGUACGGGAAAAAGAGUGAGUUUCUUAGGAUAUAUUAUUAUUAACUCCAAGGCAUUGGUCGAGAGGUGCACUUUUUGUGUGGAUAAUAGUAUGACAAGGUUUUCACGUUAUCAGCUCUUGCGAGGUAGCCUGCGAGAGGUUUUUCCUCGUUAAUUUUUUUUAGCGUGAAUUAUAGUUGUGUUCAAAAUAUGACCGGAUUACGGCAUUACAUGGGAGAGUGUUAAAAGAUUAAAAUGUUUUUUAUUUUAGAAAGUAUAAAAAUAAUAUUUUUUUAAAUUUAUUUUUGAUAUAGCAUAUCAAAAUAAUUAAAAAAACAAUUAAAAAACUAAUUUUAAACUAAAACAAAUUCAAAUUUAAAAAAAAUAGUGUUUUGGCUGCAAAUCACAAAGUUAUUGGGUUAAUAAAUCAUUUUCUAUAGAUCAUUUUAGAUAAAAAAUUUAGAGUUGACUCGGCUAAGUCUCACUUGGUUUCUGAUUGGGUCAAGUAGAUUACCGAUUGACCUGUCAAGUCACUCAAAUUUAAUCAUAUUAAUGCCUGAAAUAGUUUAAAAAAAACUUAGUUAAAAUCCCAGACGAGUUUAGCCGGGUCAACUAGAUCACGAAUUGACAAUCAAGUUACUGUAUUUUACUGUAUCAUUGUCUAAAACAGUGCAAACAAAACUAUUCUAUCACUGUAUAAAACAGUUCAAACAAAACUAUUCUAAGUUAAAUUUCAAGUUAGUAAGUUACCCGGUCAACUGUCGCACAGGGUUUAGAUUGUGUUUGGAAGUGAAGUAAUGGUUGUUUUUUAAAGUAUUUUCCGCUAAAAAAUACAUGAAAAUAAUAUUUUUAAAAUACAAAAUUAUUUUUAACAUCAAAAUUUCAAAACAAUCUAAAAAUACUAAAAGAAUUAUUUUUAAACAAAAAAACAAAAAAAAAAACAUAAAACACGGUUUCAAUUGGAAAAACAAACAGCAACUUAAUAACUAAGAAAUUCAUCGCCUGCUUUUGAUGGAAUCGUCAAAGUGGAAACCAAUUUCAGACUGCCAGAAAAACAGUCCCUAAUUCCCCUUUGAUUCCAGGAAACUCACUGAGGGACUUAAAUGGUAUCUGCCAAACCGUCCUGGUCCUACUAUUUGUAAAUAAAGAAGACCAGUAUAAUCUUUAAUAACCAUGGUACUUUAUUCUUGUCUACAUUAUUUUUAUGCAGAAUUCUUCUAUACUUUCAAUGAGAACGGCACCAAUUUCUUGCCCACAAACCACGGUAAUCAGACUUUUCUACUAAGACACCUAGACACGCAUGGUCCUCAGAAGCUAUAAAUAUGUUCCGUCUCCACAUUGUUGAAACACAGAACAAGCUUGAGAUCCAAAAUGGCUUGCCAAGCAAAAGCUAUCACCCUUCUUCUAUCCAUCUUAGCUGUCUCCUUAUGCAAACCCUCAGAUGGUGCAGGCAUCGCCAUCUAUUGGGGUCAAAAUGGCAAUGAAGGCAGCUUAGCUGAUACUUGUAACACAGGAAACUAUCAAUUUGUGAACGUAGCUUUCCUAUCUAGUUUCGGCAAUGGCCAAUCUCCAGUGCUGAACCUAGCAGGCCAUUGUGACCCCAGCGCCGGUACUUGCACCGGCAUAAGCAAUGACAUUACAUCUUGUCAAAAUCAAGGAAUCAAGGUGCUGCUUUCCAUUGGAGGUGGCGCAGGCAGCUACUCCCUUUCAUCGGCCGACGAUGCAGGGCAAGUUGCAAACUAUAUCUGGAAUAACUUCCUUGGUGGUCAGUCCAGCUCACGCCCGCUAGGCGAUGCCAUCCUAGAUGGGGUUGAUUUUGACAUCGAGUCAGGUUCAGGCCAGUUCUGGGAUGAUCUUGCUAGGGCACUUAAUGGCUUUAGCCAACAAAGGAAGGUAUACUUAGCUGCAGCUCCACAAUGCAUCUUCCCUGAUGCUAAUCUAGACACUGCAAUCAAAACUGGCCUCUUUGAUUACGUGUGGGUUCAAUUCUAUAACAAUCCUCCAUGUCAAUACGUAAAUGAUGCUACCGGUCUCUUGAGUGCAUGGAACCAAUGGACCACAGUUCAAUCCAAUCAAAUAUUCCUGGGACUACCUGCUGCUCCCGAGGCAGCCCCUAGUGGUGGAUUCAUCCCUGCUGAUGUGCUCAUUUCUCAGGUCCUUCCAUCUAUCAAGGGUUCACCCAAGUAUGGAGGCGUGAUGCUCUGGAGCAAGCAGUAUGACAAUGGGUAUAGUGCAGCUAUAAAGGGCAGUGUCUAGAUUUUUUUCAGCCCUGCUCUUCCCCAUGCUGUGUGCUCCUGAUUCCUGAAUAAAUUUGAUAUAUGUAUAUAUUUAUGCCACAGCAUGUUGAUCUAAAGAGUGUACGCGGCGAUCAAAAUAUUAUGUUUACUUAAAUUUC
RNAcentral lists this long non-coding RNA (11332 nucleotides) under Populus trichocarpa (black cottonwood). RNAcentral describes it as "long non-coding RNA (PTRI_LNC003399)". The record is from RNAcentral. Lineage: Eukaryota; Viridiplantae; Streptophyta; Magnoliopsida; Malpighiales; Salicaceae.